RNAcentral lists this long non-coding RNA (581 nucleotides) under Salmo salar (Atlantic salmon). RNAcentral's name for it is "lncRNA (ENSSSAG00000110310.1)". The record is from RNAcentral. Lineage: Eukaryota; Metazoa; Chordata; Actinopteri; Salmoniformes; Salmonidae.
GGGGCACAAGACUGGACCUGGGGCGGAGGGGCUAGGGACUGGACCUGGGGCGGAGGGGCUAGGGGUACAAGACUGGACCUGGGGCGGAGGGGCUAGGGGUACAAGACUGGACCUGGGCGGAGGGGCUAGGGACUGGACCUGGGGCGGAGGGGCUAGGGGUACAAGACUGGACCUGGGGCGGAGGGGCUAGGGGUACAGGACUGGACCUGGGGUAGGGGCACAGGACUGGACCUGGGGUGGAGGGGCUAGGGGUACAGGACUGGACCUGGGGUGGAGGGGCACAGGACUGGACCUGGGGCGGAGGGGCUAGGGGUACAAGACUGGACCUGGGGCGGAGGGGCUAGGGGUACAAGACUGGACCUGGGGCGGAGGGGCUAGGGGUACAAGACUGGACCUGGGGCGGAGGGGCUAGGGGUACAAGACUGGACCUGGGGCGGAGGGGCUAGGGGUACAGGACUGGACCUGGGGUAGGGGCACAGGACUGGACCUGGGGUGGAGGGGCUAGGGGUACAGGACUGGACCUGGGGCGGAGGGGCUAGGGGUACAAGACUGGACCUGGGGCGGAGGGGCUAGGGGUACAA